CGCUUAUUCAUGAUGCCGUUUGUCGUCCAGGAUUAUCUAGACAGCAUUUGGCGUUGAGAACACACGUGUAACCCACGUGAUGUUUGAUAAUUAGAUACGUGUUGCCCGCAACUUCACCUUCUUUGGGAAACGCCUCAUUGAAUAACCCUCACUCAGUCACCGCCUCUCAUCUCCAGCAAAAGAAUCUCAGAUCUACUCUUCUCUCAUUGGAAUGAUCUUGUUCGACAUGUCAAUGGUUCAUCAUCUCCUCGUCAAUCUUGUGAAAGGUGUUCCACACAUGAAUAUUUAUGUAAUACCAUGUCAAUGAUUUCGAUAGUAGCUACCUAUCAGGUUGGCCAGAAUACAACCAUUUCUCUUGGUAGGCGUUGCAAAAAUCUCGAGUUCUUAGAUCUUUCAUGGUGUCGCCUCCUUAUAGACAAGGCACUAGGAUUAAUUGCUGACAGCUGCUGGUCUCUCAAGUUGCUCAAAAUUUUUGGUUGCACACAGGUCGUCCAACGUGAUAAGGUGCAAAAGCCGCAUGAAGGCCAAGACAGUGGAGCUUCACAUCGAUCAUCUAUAUUUAGUAUAUAUAGUACAUCCUAGCUAGUUAUUUUUUCUAGGUUUUAGUUUUAAUUUCUUUGGUUAGAUUUAUGAUGUUGUUUUGGACUAUUUGGUUAGGAUUUUGGUUAGUUAUAUAGAUGCGUGUAUGUUUGGAUUCUGGUUGGUAACAUACGUGUACGUACUAUGAAAUUUAACUACUUAAGUUUUUGUAAGUUAAUUUUAUUGUUAAUUGAAGACCAAUUAUUCACAAUUCAGGUUUAA
Molecule: long non-coding RNA, 801 nt
Organism: Spinacia oleracea (spinach)
Lineage: Eukaryota; Viridiplantae; Streptophyta; Magnoliopsida; Caryophyllales; Amaranthaceae
Exons: 5
Source: RefSeq, a predicted model, not a curated record